UUACCCCUGCAGCUGACAUCAUUGGCUGUUCAGUUCUUUGUAGACAACGAGACAUGCUUUGCAUGUGACUCUGACUGAGAGGAAUGAUGUCAUUAUUUAAGCGGAAAGGUCACAGUUCGGCAGAAAGACGUGUUCAGAUCUGCUCUUGUGAGCCGGAAUAAUCACUCAUUACUGUAAUCACUCAUUAGACAGGUUACAUGGAGCUUUGUUUUGCAGUCUCCGUCUUUGUAAGAGGAAGUUACAGUGGCACGCAAUGCGGAAUGGCAAUAGGGUACUAAAGGGCAUACUAAAUGAGAUGACUACUACAGCUACAUCAAGAUUUGGAUGCAGCUACAUCAGUGGAAUAUUUGGCUGGUGAAAAUAACUUUGUCUGUUUGGCCCUAGGCGAGAGUUUUGACGGGGGAGAAGUUGCAGAAACACAUUCCCGGAAGAAGACACUCACAAGUACAUCAAUGCUUACACGCACACAAAAACACUCACCUACUUCAUCACUAGCCUACGUCAAUUUGGGGAAAUUUGAUUUGGUAAUAUGAGGGUGUUGUGUGUUUUCAUUGUCUGUCUCCUUCACUUUUCUGUUAUCUCUGUGUGUCUAUGUGAGUGACAGUGAGUAACCCGUGACACGUGUCUGUCUAGGACAAGACAAAUGCAGCAUUUAGUUUGUUGCUGUGUCAGUGAGCAAUCACGUGUCUACCUGGGCUCAUGCACAAUGGGCUAUAGCAUGUGUUCCCAGCUGAUAGACAUGUGGAGUGUGUCAGAGCGACAUUUGACCUGCAGGGCGAUGGAGCUUACUACACUGCCUGAAGCAGCCCGGGGAGGGUACCAUCGGGCUACGGGUUUCCACUAUAUGUCCUCGUUCUCGGAUGCUGAAGACUGCUGCGAUGACA
Hypomesus transpacificus is the source of this 884-nucleotide long non-coding RNA. RefSeq lists it as uncharacterized. The record is from RefSeq and is a predicted model, not a curated record. The transcript has 2 exons. NCBI's taxonomy places the organism in Eukaryota, Metazoa, Chordata, Actinopteri, Osmeriformes, Osmeridae.